Molecule: ribosomal RNA, 445 nt
Filed under: uncultured bacterium
Lineage: Bacteria
Description: partial 16S ribosomal RNA
Rfam family: Bacterial small subunit ribosomal RNA
Source: RNAcentral
GUGAGGAAUAUUGCGCAAUGGAGGCAACUCUGACGCAGCCAUGCCGCGUGCAGGAAGAAGGCGCUACGCGUUGUAAACUGCUUUUAACCGGGAAGAAACCCCAGGACGUGUCCUGGGUUGACGGUACCGGAGGAAUAAGCACCGGCUAACUUCGUGCCAGCAGCCGCGGUAAUACGAAGGGUGCAAGCGUUAUCCGGAUUCAUUGGGUUUAAAGGGUGCGUAGGCGGAGCGUUAAGUCAGUGGUGAAAUCCUGCAGCUUAACUGUAGACUUGCCAUUGAUCCUGGCGCUCUUGAGUGCGCUUGAAGUGGGCGGAAUGUGCCGUGUAGCGGUGAAAUGCUUAGAUAUGGCACAGAACACCGAUUGCGAAGGCAGCUCACUAAGGCGAUACUGACGCUGAGGCACGAAAGCGUGGGGAUCGAACAGGAUUAGAAACCCGGGUAGUCC